This 890-nucleotide long non-coding RNA is filed under the name Podarcis lilfordi (Lilford's wall lizard). The record is from RNAcentral. Lineage: Eukaryota; Metazoa; Chordata; Lepidosauria; Squamata; Lacertidae.
GUGGGUUAGUGAGGAGAGACAAAGAGAGGUGUGUAGGUGCGGUAAGAGAGAAAGCAGAGGAUUUGGAUUUUCUUCUGAUUUUGACUACUUAAAGAGGAGGCGGAGCCAGCAUCAAACAUGCGGUCAGUUCCAGACCUUCAGGAAGAAGAAGGAAGGUUCAGCGGACUUGUACGUCAUGGAACAGAGUGGCUCAGAUGACUGAGAAGCGCAAUGCAGCUCAAAAAGAGCAACAAAGUGGCCCCGCUCCAGCCCAAGGAGCAGCCUCCUGUGGCACCACUUGUGACAAAGCUCUUCAAGAGCUUUCCAGAGCUCGAGAAGGCACUAGCCCGAAACCGGGCCCGUAUUAGACCAGCACCUGAAGAGGACAUAACUGUAGAAGAUCUGGAAUGAGUGUCCGGCGUGACGGGUCAAGGGAAGGCGCUCUGUUUUGCAAAAGUUAAAAGGGAGUAAGGGAAGAAUGAGGGUGAUGAGAUCAAGGUAACCCUCCAGCCUCUCCUGAGCUGCAGAGGCUCAGGGCAGAGAGGCGGAAGGAACUAAGUUCCCGCAGGAGAAGUGCUUGUCUCCAGACCAGGAGAGGCAAGUCACCAGAGGAUCGUGGCCGCCCUAUGCCUCAGGGCAGAUAAAAGCCGGCCAGCCCCAGUCCCAAGUUGUGGGAGCAACAUUGUUGGUUGCUAGUUCCUGCCUGAACCUGUCCUGAUUUCCUGCCUGAGCUCCUGACCCGCCCUGGUUCCCUGCUUGCAAGCCUGUUCCUGACUUCACACGACUCCCUGCCCUGCACCCAGCUUCAGCUACUAUGGACUGCCUCCACGUUGCACCUUUGACCACUUGGACUUAGCUGAUUCCCCCCCCCCCUUGAUGGAACACCAUAUUUUCUGAAACCCAAAUAAAAA